UACGUAGGGUCCGAGCGUUGUCCGGAAUUAUUGGGCGUAAAGAGCUCGUAGGCGGUCUGUCACGUCGGCUGUGAAAACACGGGGCUCAACUCCGUGCCUGCAGUCGAUACGGGCAGACUAGAGUUCGGUAGGGGAGACUGGAAUUCCAGGUGUAGCGGUGAAAUGCGUAGAUAUCUGGAGGAACACCGGUGGCGAAGGCGGCAUCCUGGACCGGCAUUGACGCUGAUGAGCGAAAGCCAGGGGAGCAAACGGG
Molecule: ribosomal RNA, 253 nt
Filed under: uncultured bacterium
Lineage: Bacteria
Description: partial 16S ribosomal RNA
Rfam family: Bacterial small subunit ribosomal RNA
Source: RNAcentral